Molecule: ribosomal RNA, 632 nt
Filed under: marine bacterium SIMO-4492
Lineage: Bacteria
Description: bacterial SSU rRNA
Rfam family: Bacterial small subunit ribosomal RNA
Source: RNAcentral
AAUUGCAAGUCGAGCGGUAACAGGAUUAGCUUGCUAAUUUGCUGACGAGCGGCGGACGGGUGAGUAACGCGUAGGAAUCUGCCUGGUAGUGGGGGACAACAUGUGGAAACGCAUGCUAAUACCGCAUACGCCCUACGGGGGAAAGGAGGGGAUCUUCGGACCUUUCGCUAUCAGAUGAGCCUGCGUGAGAUUAGCUAGUUGGUGGGGUAAAGGCUCACCAAGGCGACGAUCUCUAGCUGGUCUGAGAGGAUGAUCAGCCACACUGGGACUGAGACACGGCCCAGACUCCUACGGGAGGCAGCAGUGGGGAAUAUUGGACAAUGGGCGCAAGCCUGAUCCAGCCAUGCCGCGUGUGUGAAGAAGGCCUUCGGGUUGUAAAGCACUUUCAGAGGUGAGGAAGGGUGUGUAGUUAAUACCUACAUAUCUUGACGUUAGCCUCAGAAGAAGCACCGGCAAACUCUGUGCCAGCAGCCGCGGUAAUACAGAGGGUGCGAGCGUUAAUCGGAAUUACUGGGCGUAAAGCGCGCGUAGGUGGUUUGUUAAGUCGGAUGUGAAAGACCCGGGGCUCAACCUUGGGAUUGCACCGGUUCCUGGGCAGCUCCACUACGGAGCACGGGUGUGGAUUUUCCGGU